AGGCUGGACCCAGCCAGCCUCGAGGAUGGAAGAGAGGGACAUCAUGGUGGUGCUGGACUCCCUGCAGGGCUCAGCGGCUCCCUCAGGACAAGGAGAAAGCUGGGAACCCUAAGACAGAACUGGAGGUUCUUGUUGCCUAAAUCUCUCCUGGCCUGCUGCACAUGGAACCCAUUUCUUCCCAUUCAGGGCUCUGCAGAGACAGAAGAUGAACAGUAAAAUGCAAAGAUCUGGCGACCUUCAGAGCUGGGUCCCUGGGGACUCUGCAGAACCACCCAGAAGCCCCAAAGUGUGACAUCACCAGUUCAACAGCCUUCCCCACUCCCAUCACUUCCUGAAACAGCCAGAGCAAGAAGAUGAUGCAUGUGAGCCCUGCCCUUGGGAAGCUUCCAGGUUGGGAAAUGAGGAAUGAGCCUGACACCCAGGGCCCAGAGAGACCCAGGCCAGAGGCAGGCCAGGAGGCAGACACGCGCUGCUGGGUAAUGACGACAGCACCAGUAAUCACGGCUACUCCUUGUUAAGUACUUACUAAGUGCAAGACUCCAAGCUAAGCAAUUAAUAGACCUUUUCUUGUUUAAUCCUUACCACAAUUCCAUAGGAUGUUCUCACAGAGCUACACAUGCCAUGAUCAUCACUAGUUGCGAGAGUCUCCAGUGUUCAUUAAGCCUAUUUUGCUGGAAGUUUAGUCCCUGGAGGAUUAGUCCCUGCCCUUAAGGAGUGCCAAAGAAGACUUUGGAAUCUAAAUCACAUCUCCCCUGCUGCAAUUUUUUCCUCUUGAUAAUCAAGGAAACUCACUGAUAAAACUCUCAAUGAGGAGCAGCUCUCCCCAUGAGCAAGUUCUUGCCUUCAUUGCCAGGGAGGGCCCAGCUAAGGUUAUACUGGGAAAGGAAUCUCUGGGGAGUACCUGGAAAAGGUCAGCUUCUCCUCAAAGGAAGCCUCUCCAGCUGGUGUACUGCAAAGCCUUCUAAGACCAAGUUCCCUCCUCCUGACCUCUGGAACCAGCCUGUGUGCCAGUGCUGUGUCCCCAGUAACACACGAGUCUCUCCCUCAGAAGCCACAGAAGGAUGCAGAGAGAGACCAACCUGGGAUUGAUUCUCAGCCCUAGCACUUACUGUGUGGACAUAACUGCUCUGGACCUCAGCUUUGCUUUCUAUAAAAUGAGCACCAUUUUAUAGAUAUGAACCCUUUAAGAGAGUCAUAAAGAUUGAAGUUGAUCUGUGCU
RNAcentral lists this long non-coding RNA (1219 nucleotides) under Pongo abelii (Sumatran orangutan). Its description in RNAcentral is "lincRNA". The record is from RNAcentral. Lineage: Eukaryota; Metazoa; Chordata; Mammalia; Primates; Hominidae.